CCCUUAGAUGUUCUGGGCCGCACGCGCGCUACACUGAUGCAUUCAACGAGUCUAAAACCUGCUCUGAUAGGGGUGGGUAAUCUUUUGAAUGUGCAUCGUGAUUGGGGUAGAUGAUUGCAAUUUUUCAUCUUCAACGAGGGAUGCCUAGUAAACGCAAGUCAUCAGCUUGCAUUGAUUACGUCCCUGCCCUUUGUACACACCGCCCGUCGCUCCUACCGAUUGAAUGAUCCGAUGAAUAUCAUGGAUUGAGGAUUAUAGCAGGUUCGCCUGUCUUGAUCUUCGAGAAGUGAAGUAAAUCUUAUCAUUUAGAGGAGGGAGAAGUCGUAACA
Molecule: ribosomal RNA, 329 nt
Filed under: uncultured eukaryote
Lineage: Eukaryota
Description: partial 18S ribosomal RNA
Rfam family: Eukaryotic small subunit ribosomal RNA
Source: RNAcentral